Mauremys reevesii (Reeves's turtle) is the source of this 911-nucleotide long non-coding RNA. RefSeq lists it as uncharacterized. Lineage: Eukaryota; Metazoa; Chordata; Testudines; Geoemydidae. The transcript is spliced from 3 exons. The record is from RefSeq and is a predicted model, not a curated record.
AAGGUGCCUUGCCUCAAAGUAUAGUAUCUCCUUAUAUCGGUUUAAAUUACUUGCCAAGUAAUACAACUGAUGAUAGCAUACAAAAUGCAGUGCCAGUCUCCAGUCCUGGUUUGACAAUUGAGACAUAGUGAGUUUUACAAAGCAAACGAAGUUUGAAUAAAAUCAGUUCAGAAAUGUUAAGGUACUGAAGAAGGCCCUCUGGAUGUGUGCCAUAUUUUACUUUAAGGCUGUCUGUAUAGAAGUUUGAGUGCCUUUACUCCGUCCAGCAACUAGUCAAUCCAAUUGCAGCAAGUAGUCACAGUGGCCAUGCAAGGAGGAGAGAGAGAGGAUGUGCCAUCAUGGUGGGAAUUCUGGCUGCAUGAAGACUGAGAAAAAAUUUAUGUAAAGACUUCAAGAUCAGGAUCCAUACACAUUUCUUUGCUGAGCUGGUAUUUUCAGUCUGAUGGAGAGCAAAGUAAUGGUUGCACUGUGUUAUCCCACCUCCCUGGCUCCCAAAGCAUGAAGAGGAACGGAUCAGCCCUGGAGACAGAGUGGCAGCCAGCCCUGAAAGACAAGAGCCUCACUGCAGACAAAGAACAGUAAAGGAACUGAGCGUGCUCAGCAUACUGCAGCAGCAGCAGCCUCAUUAAUUCCAUCACCAGCCCAAUGAGUUUAAGCAAGCGCCAGGGGUAUUACAAUAGUUUGUAGCAAUAUGUUGCAUAAGUGAGCCCCAAAUCACUGUGCAGUUAUUUAGAAAGUACAUCUUGCAUACCACUAACAGGAGUGCUUUUAUUAAUGAUGUAUACCAGAAACACAAUAAGACAUCGCAGCUACUCCGUAGCAAGACCUAUAAUUUUAAUGAUGUGAUGAAUAAGGCAAUUAAUGUACUUCAAUUUAUUCCCCAUAUGUAUCAUAUUUAAUGUCAGAAAACU